Molecule: transfer RNA, 72 nt
Organism: Mucor circinelloides
Lineage: Eukaryota; Fungi; Mucoromycota; Mucoromycetes; Mucorales; Mucoraceae
Rfam family: tRNA
About the family: Transfer RNA (tRNA) molecules are approximately 80 nucleotides in length.
Source: Rfam
GGUUUCAUAGUGUAAUGGUUAUCAUAUCGGUCUUUGAAUCCGGUGAUCCGAGUUCGAUUCUCGGUGAGACCU